GCUAAGCAUGGUGACAUGCACCUGUAGUCCCAGCUACUUGGGAGGUUGAGGCAGGAGGAUCGCUUGAGUCCAGGAGUUCUGGGCUGUAGUGCACUAUGCUGAUUGGGUGUCUGCACUAAGUUAGGCAUCAAUAUGGUGAUCUUGCAAGAGCAGGAGACCACCAGGUUGCCUAAGGAGGAGUGAACUGGCCCAGCACGGAAAUGGAGCAAGUCAAACCUCCCAUGCUGAUCAGUAGUGGAAUCACACCUGUGAAUAGCCACUGCACUCCAGCCUAGGCAACACGAGACCCUGUCUCUU
This is a non-coding RNA of Homo sapiens (human), 297 nucleotides long. It matches the Rfam family "Metazoan signal recognition particle RNA". Rfam says of the family: The signal recognition particle (SRP) is a universally conserved ribonucleoprotein. Lineage: Eukaryota; Metazoa; Chordata; Mammalia; Primates; Hominidae. The record is from Rfam.